This 331-nucleotide unclassified non-coding RNA is filed under the name soil metagenome. RNAcentral describes it as "partial contains 5.8S ribosomal RNA, internal transcribed spacer 2, and large subunit ribosomal RNA". The stretch from base 1 to 120 matches the Rfam family "5.8S ribosomal RNA", at positions 35 to 154 of the family's 154-position model. The record is from RNAcentral.
GAUGAAGAACGCAGCGAAAUGCGAUACGUAAUGUGAAUUGCAGAAUUCAGUGAAUCAUCGAAUCUUUGAACGCACAUUGCGCCCCCUGGUAUUCCGGGGGGCAUGCCUGUUCGAGCGUCAUUUCACCACUCAAGCCUCGCUUGGUAUUGGGCAACGCGGUCCGCCGCGUGCCUCAAAUCGACCGGCUGGGUCUUCUGUCCCCUAAGCGUUGUGGAAACUAUUCGCUAAAGGGUGUUCGGGAGGCUACGCCGUAAAACAACCCCAUUUCUAAGGUUGACCUCGGAUCAGGUAGGGAUACCCGCUGAACUUAAGCAUAUCAAUAAGCGGAGGA